AAUGGCUGCAGUAAUAUAACUGUACAAAGGUAGCAUAAUCAUUAGUUUUUUAAUUAAAAGCUUGUAUGAAAGGUUGGACGAAGUAAAAUCUGUCUCUUUUUAAUAUAAUUAGAAUUUAAUUUUUAAGUAAAAAAGCUUAAAUUUAUAUAAAAGACGAGAAGACCCUAUAGAGUUUAAUAAUUUAUUUUAAAUAAUUAAUUUAGAUUUAUUUAUUUUAUUUAUUAUAUAAUUAUUUUAUUGGGGUAAUAAAAAGAUUAAUAUAAUUCUUUUUUUUAUAUAACAUUAAUAUAUGAAUUAAAUGAUCCAUUUUUAUGAUUAAAAGAUUAAAUUACCUUAGGGAUAACAGCGUAAUUUUUUUAAAGAGUUCAUAUCGAUAAAAAAGUUUGCGACCUCGAUGUUGGAUUAAAGAUUAAUUUAGGUGUAGAAGUUUAAAUUUUUGGUCUGUUCGACCAUUAAAUCUUUACAUGAUCUGAGUUCAAACCGGUGUAAGCCAGGUUGGUUUCUAUCUUUAUAGAAUUUUUAUAUUUUAGUACGAAAGGACCAAAUAUUUAAUAUAUAAAUAUUUAAUAUUUUGAAUAU
This 579-nucleotide ribosomal RNA is filed under the name Duvalius ochsi joffrei. RNAcentral's name for it is "partial 16S ribosomal RNA". The stretch from base 339 to 497 matches the Rfam family "Bacterial large subunit ribosomal RNA", at positions 2473 to 2632 of the family's 2925-position model. The record is from RNAcentral. RNAcentral also lists the same sequence under 1 other name. Lineage: Eukaryota; Metazoa; Arthropoda; Insecta; Coleoptera; Carabidae.